CUUUUCUUUUUUAAUCUAUUUAUGUUGAAAGUAUGACAGUGACUUAUGAUUUGUACUUUGGUGUGAUCAUUUGCAGGUUUGGUAAGAAAAAAACAUAGUCCUUCUGAUAGCCAAUAUUUGCAGAUCAGAUUCGCUCUAUGUGCCAAAGCAUGUGUGCUGGGUCAAACCUCGAAUAUGAUUCUUCAUUUGAUUUGAGCACUGAGCGAAAGAAAGUGAGAGUAUCAUGCAGUUGUUGCUGGCCAGCCCAUGUUCCACUUUCUGGGAGUGCUGAGACGGUAGCAUCCCUAUGAUCCAUGUGAUCAUGGCAGCAGUGGCAAGACAUUCCUAUGGUGGAGAACAAGAUAAGGAUCCAGAUGCUUCGAUCCGUAAAAGGGCCCUCAAGCUUGUUUAUCUUCUAGUAAAUGAAAGCAAUGUGAAGCCUUUGACAAAGGAGCUUGUUGAUUAUCUAGAAGUAAGUG
Molecule: non-coding RNA, 458 nt
Organism: Sesamum indicum (sesame)
Lineage: Eukaryota; Viridiplantae; Streptophyta; Magnoliopsida; Lamiales; Pedaliaceae
Source: RefSeq, a predicted model, not a curated record